CCAGCUCAGCGGGUAUUCCUACCUGAUCCGAGGUCACAUUCAGAAGUUGGGGUUUUACGGCGUGGCCGCGACGAUUACCAGUAACGAGGUGUAUGAUUACUACGCUAUGGAAGCUCGACGUGACCGCCAAUCGAUUUGGGGAACGCGGGUUACCGCGAGUCCCAACACCAAGCUGAGCUUGAGGGUUGAAAUGACGCUCGAACAGGCAUGCCCGCCAGAAUACUGGCGGGCGCAAUGUGCGUUCAAAGAUUCGAUGAUUCACUGAAUUCUGCAAUUCACAUUACUUAUCGCAUUUUGCUGCGUUCUUCAUCGAUGCCAGAACCAAGAGAUCCGUUGUUGAAAGUUUUGAUUUAUUUGUUUGUUUUACUCAGAAGUUCCACUAAAAACAGAGUUUAGGGGUCCUCGGGCGGGCCGUCCCUUUUUACGGGGCGCGGGCUGAUCCGCCGAGGCAACGUAUAGUAUGUUCACAGGGGUUUGGAAAAA
This 483-nucleotide unclassified non-coding RNA is filed under the name Fusarium equiseti. Its description in RNAcentral is "sequence contains 18S rRNA gene, ITS1, 5.8S rRNA gene, ITS2, 28S rRNA gene". The record is from RNAcentral. Lineage: Eukaryota; Fungi; Ascomycota; Sordariomycetes; Hypocreales; Nectriaceae.